UACGUAGGAGGCGAGCGUUGUCCGGAGUUACUGGGCGUAAAGCGCACGCAGGCGGUCUUGUCAGUCUGUAGGGACAGGGCACGCUUAACUGUGUCAGGCUAUGGAAACUGCAAGACUUGAGGGCUUCAGAGGGAUGGGGAAUUCCGGGUGUAGCGGUGGAAUGCGUAGAGAUCCGGAAGAACACCGGUGGCGAAGGCGGCCUGCUGGGCGAGUAGCUGACACUGAGGCGCGACAGCGUGGGGAGCAAACAGG
RNAcentral lists this ribosomal RNA (252 nucleotides) under uncultured bacterium. Its description in RNAcentral is "partial 16S ribosomal RNA". It matches the Rfam family "Bacterial small subunit ribosomal RNA", at positions 524 to 776 of the family's 1533-position model. The record is from RNAcentral.